UUGGAGGGCAAGUCUGGUGCCAGCAGCCGCGGUAAUUCCAGCUCCAAUAGCGUAUAUUAAAGUUGUUGCAGUUAAAAAGCUCGUAGUUGAAUUUCGGGAUCAAUUUAUCGGUCGUGCCUACGGUAUGAACUGGUACAAUUGGUUUCUCCCUUCUGACGAAGCAUGAUGUCAUUAAUUUGGUGUCGUGGGGAAUCAGGACUGUUACUUUGAAAAAAUUAGAGUGUUUAAAGCAAGCAUUAGCUUGAAUACAUUAGCAUGGAAUAAUGAAAUAGGACGUUUGAUCCUAUUUCGUUGGUUUCUAGGAUCGACGUAAUGAUUAAUAGGGAUAGUUGGGGGCAUUAGUAUUCAAUUGUCAGAGGUGAAAUUCUUGGAUUUAUUGAAGACUAACUACUGCGAAAGCAUUUGCCAAGGAUGUUUUCAUUAAUCAAGAACGAAAGUUAGGGGAUCGAAGACGAUCAGAUACCGUCGUAGUCUUAACCAUAAACUAUGCCGACUAGGGAUCGGAUGAUGUUAAUUUUUUAAUGACUCAUUCGGGGCCUUACGGGAAAC
RNAcentral lists this ribosomal RNA (549 nucleotides) under uncultured Glomeromycotina. RNAcentral describes it as "SSU rRNA". It matches the Rfam family "Eukaryotic small subunit ribosomal RNA", at positions 548 to 1098 of the family's 1831-position model. The record is from RNAcentral. Lineage: Eukaryota; Fungi; Glomeromycota.